Nicotiana sylvestris (wood tobacco) is the source of this 102-nucleotide non-coding RNA. The record is from Rfam. Lineage: Eukaryota; Viridiplantae; Streptophyta; Magnoliopsida; Solanales; Solanaceae.
GCUCUUUCGAGGAGUAUAUGAUAAAAUUGAAACGAUACAGAGAAGAUUAACAUGACCCUACAGAAGGAUGACAUUCGCCAUUCUAACUUGCUGAAAUUCAUA